GGGGGGGGGCCGGAUCCUGGGCUGUGUCCCGGCGCCCUGUGCUCUGGAGCCUGCGCUGUUGGAAUCCCGCUCCCGCCCCGCAGCCCCCU
Canis lupus familiaris (dog) is the source of this 89-nucleotide non-coding RNA. NCBI's taxonomy places the organism in Eukaryota, Metazoa, Chordata, Mammalia, Carnivora, Canidae. The record is from Rfam.